GCCCCAGCUCUUGUACCUGGAUGCUAUAAGGUUAAAGCAGCUGCAGCCAUCUUCUAUCUAAGAGAACAGAACCACAGGGAGUCCAUCCUGGAUUGCUAACACCACUGAGCCACUAUUUCCACCCCUCCAACAGGUGUGAGACAGCACUAGUUUCUUUUUACUAUGUGGAUACAGGACUUAAACCCAGGAUGAAAGGCUUGGCAACAAACACCCGUAUCUCCUGAGCCAUCUUACCAGCCCCAGGACUUGCUGUUUUUAAAGAUUUCUUAGCCAUUAUCAUCAUGGCAGGAAGCAUUGCAGUAUCCAGGCAGGCAUGGCUGUGGAGGAGCUCAGAGUUCUACAUCUUGUUCCUCAGGCAAACAGGAGAAGACUGCCCACCCCCACAGUGACAUGCUGCCUGCAACGAGGCCACGCCUCCUAAUGGUAGCAUUCCCUGUGGGCUAACCAUUCAAACACAUGCAUCUAUGGGACCAAACCUAUUCAAACCACCACAAGAGAGGAAUACACCAAAGAGACAUCUGGACCCUGGAGUCACAGCCACCUCAGUUGUCAUCCCAGCCCAGGCAUUCUCCAGCCAUAGCAAGCCGUCUGCCUCCCCAGUCUUACUUUCUCUGUUUGAAUAAUAAGAGAAAACUGACCUAAAGAAGUACUUACGACAAGCAUCUUCACAAAUCAGAACUCUAUAAAUGAAAGCUAUAUAAAAGUGAUCUAGGUAGGGUGGGUGUGUGUGUGUGCGCACACGCGCGUGUGCGUGUGUGUAAAACACUUGAUAUGCUCUGGGUGGUAGCUGCGUACACCUUUUUAUCCCAGCACUCAGGAGGCAGAGGCAGGCAGAUCUCUGAGUUUGAAAUCAGCCUGGUCUACAGAGUGAGUUCCAGGUCAGCUGGGGUUCCACAGAGAAACCCUGUCUCAAAACCAACCAACAAACAAACAAAACAAAAACAAAAACAAAAAACAACAAGCAAACAAAAACUCUUGAUAUACAACCAAAAUUGAAGCUUCUCAGUGGAUGGCAUGGUUUUAAAUUAUGAACUGUAACAAACAGCAUAAACCAGCAGACCACACAUAUUCCAUACUUCAAUAAUCUGUCUUCCACAGAUCCAACAGAUCUCAAUAAAAUGCAACACUCCCAUUCAGCUCUGUGCUAUAAAUUUUAUCUCCACAUUCACUUCUCCAUCCAAUACACCCUCCCACAUUCCCCGGAUAGCACCAUUUGUUGUUGUUGUUGUUGUUGUUGUUGUUGUUGUUAUUGUUGUUGUUGUUUAGACAAGAAGGGAAUUCUUAAAAAUUCUUAAAUUCUUAAAAAUUCUUAAAAAAACUCUUCUUAAGCACGGGCUUGAUCUUCCUAGACCAUCUUCACUCAUACUUACCCACUGUCCAAAAUCUAAAUUGUUAUCAUCAAACCUCUAAAAAUAAGCCCACCUUUGUAAACGUAAGCCUAAUGGAUUACUUUGACAAGAAAAGAUUCUCUAGAUGGCCUUUCCUUCUGUUUUUGUCUCCAUAUUUCCUCCUAUGACUAUUUUGGUUCCCCAUUCUAAGGACUGAAGCAUCCACACUCCAGAGGCUGCCCCACGGGGAUCCAGCCCAUAUACAGCCACCAAACCCAGAUAAUAUUGCUGAUGCCAAGAAGUGCAUGCUGACAGGAGCCCGAUAUAGCUGUCUCCUGAGAGGCUCUGCCAGAGCAUGGCAAAUACAGAGGCGAAUGCUAGCAAACAACCAUUGAACUGAGAAAGGAGUCCCCUUUGGAGGAGUUAGAGAAAGGAUUGAAGGAACUGAAGGAGCUUGCAACCCCAUAAAAACAACAAUGUCAACCAACCAGAACCCCCAGGAACUAAACCACCAUCCAAAGAGUACACAUGGACAGACCUAUGGCUCCAGCUGCUUAUGUAGCAGAGGAUGGCCUUGUUAGACACCAAUGGGAGGAGAAGCCCUUGGUCCUGCCAAGGUUCCAUGCCCCAGUGUAGAGAAAUGUCAGGGUGGAGAAGCAGGAAGGGGUGGGUGGGGGAGCACCCUCAUAGAAGCGGGGGGAGGGGGCAUGGGAUAGGGGCUUUAUGGACUGUAAACUAGGAAAGGGGAUAACAUUUGAAAUAAAAAUAAAAAAUAUCCAAUUUUUAAAAAAGGAAA
Molecule: long non-coding RNA, 2124 nt
Organism: Rattus norvegicus (Norway rat)
Lineage: Eukaryota; Metazoa; Chordata; Mammalia; Rodentia; Muridae
Source: RefSeq, a predicted model, not a curated record